RNAcentral lists this ribosomal RNA (556 nucleotides) under uncultured bacterium. Its description in RNAcentral is "bacterial SSU rRNA". It matches the Rfam family "Bacterial small subunit ribosomal RNA", at positions 8 to 608 of the family's 1533-position model. The record is from RNAcentral.
AGAGUUUGAUCCUGGCUCAGAGCGAACGCUGGCGGCAUGCCUAACACAUGCAAGUCGAGCGCUCCCAGCAAUGGGGGAGCGGCGGACGGGUGAGUAACGCGUAGGAACGUAUCCUGAGGUGGGGGAUAACCCUGGGAAACUAGGGCUAAUACCGCAUGAUGGCGAGAGCCCAAAGAUUUAUCGCCUUGGGAGCGGCCUGCGUCUGAUUAGCUUGUUGGUGGGGUAACGGCCUACCAAGGCGAUGAUCAGUAGCUGGUCUGAGAGGAUGAUCAGCCACACUGGGACUGAGACACGGCCCAGACUCCUACGGGAGGCAGCAGUGGGGAAUAUUGGACAAUGGGCGAAAGCCUGAUCCAGCAAUGCCGCGUGGAUGAAGAAGGUCUUCGGAUUGUAAAGUCCUUUCGGCGGGGACGAUGAUGACGGUACCCGCAGAAGAAGCCCCGGCUAACUUCGUGCCAGCAGCCGCGGUAAUACGAAGGGGGCUAGCGUUGCUCGGAAUUACUGGGCGUAAAGGGCGCGUAGGCGGACCACUCAGUCAGGCGUGAAAGCCCCGGGC